CUUAUCAAGAGUGGUGGAGGAAACAGGUCCUAUGAAGCCCGGCAACCUGACGAGAGUUAAGGUGCCAGAUCCUGCGGUUUUGAUCCGAAAGAUGAGG
This 97-nucleotide non-coding RNA is filed under the name uncultured Ruminococcus sp. RNAcentral describes it as "SAM riboswitch (S box leader)". It matches the Rfam family "SAM riboswitch aptamer (S box leader)". From Rfam's summary of the family: The SAM riboswitch is found upstream of a number of genes which code for proteins involved in methionine or cysteine biosynthesis in Gram-positive bacteria. Lineage: Bacteria; Bacillati; Bacillota; Clostridia; Eubacteriales; Oscillospiraceae. The record is from RNAcentral.